GGCAGGGAGUUCCUCGAGCCAUCGACGGGCGGUGUCGGAGAGGAAAAGGGGUAGCUGUCUGAUGAUGGCUCGAUCAUCACCUCGAGCGCCACCUAGGUGACAGGCCAGCCUGAAGUCGGCCAGCCACAACUCUGGUUUGGUCUCUCCAUUGUACUUCGCGAUGCUGGUCGGGGGUCGAAAUGGAUUGGGCAGGGGCGUGCUGC
This 203-nucleotide long non-coding RNA is filed under the name Sorghum bicolor (sorghum). Its description in RNAcentral is "long non-coding RNA (SBIC_LNC017797)". Lineage: Eukaryota; Viridiplantae; Streptophyta; Magnoliopsida; Poales; Poaceae. The record is from RNAcentral.